UCGUGGAGAUCCACGUUCCUCAGGAACCAU
Molecule: small RNA, 30 nt
Filed under: Bombyx mori (domestic silkworm)
Lineage: Eukaryota; Metazoa; Arthropoda; Insecta; Lepidoptera; Bombycidae
Description: ovarian small RNA-29311
Source: RNAcentral